Molecule: ribosomal RNA, 166 nt
Filed under: uncultured Clostridium sp.
Lineage: Bacteria; Bacillati; Bacillota; Clostridia; Eubacteriales; Clostridiaceae
Description: partial 16S ribosomal RNA
Rfam family: Bacterial small subunit ribosomal RNA
Source: RNAcentral
AUUGGCAUGGGCGCAGCCUGAUGCAGCAACGCCGCGUGAGCGAUGAAGGCCUUCGGGUUGUAAAGCUCUGUCUUCGCUGAAGAUAAUGACGGUAAGCGAGGAGGAAGCCACGGCUAACUACGUGCCAGCAGCCGCGGUAAUACGUAGGUGGCAAGCGUUGUCCGGA